GGCACUGCAAGACACCAGGCAGCUGGCCAGGCUGUGGCGCUGAGCAUGGGGAAACUGAGGCCACACUGGCCAGCCAGGCAUGCCGUGGGCAUGUACUGUGCACUCAACCCCACUAGGACAUGCGUGUGUGCACUCAGGCCUAUUCCCCCACCCCAGGUACCCUCCAUGGCAGCUGUGCCAGCACUCAUGUCCCCUCAGGGAUCAGGACUCUGUGCUGCCCCCCCGGGAGCCCCAACACCAAAGAGGGUGGUAACUUCCAGGAGGCUUGCUGUAAGGAGUCAUGUUGGAGACCUGGGGGUGGGGGAUGGCAGGUGCUGGGAGCCACAACUGCCCAGAUGUGCUGUGGGGACCUCCCUGACUCAAAAUCCAGUGAGGGGUGUGGAGGGUGGGCAGGCGUUCCCAUCAGAGGUGUCCUCAAUCCUGGGAGUAAGCUGCACGUGCCGUGGGCACACUCCCAGCCACCGUCUUACACAUUCCUGGAUUUCUGCCCAGGCCUAAGGGAAGGAGGCGGGUCCUCCUGAGACUCAGUCCCCAAAAAGAGAAUCCAAAGGAAACCCAGAGGCAAGGCACUGCUGCCCACACAGGCCCAGCUGCCAGGUGUUCUGCCGCCCUGCCCAGCUGGCUCUAAGUUGCUCUCCUCCAGGCAGCCCGCCUGGAUGCAUCCAUCCACUCCAGGCAGGCACUACUCAGGCCUUCCCUCCUCUGUGGCGUGGCAAGCUUCCUGGAGUACCCACUUCACCCCCUGAGGUUGGGGGUCCCUUGCAGAGGCUCCUGACUGUGCCCUUGGGAAUAGGCGAGCUCACUGUCCAUAUGCCGGGAUGGCCCCUUCAGCCUGACUCUUCACACUCUGCCAGCCUCCAGGCCAGGCUCUUCAGAGCUAUCGCUGCGGCAUGUUAGGCCUUCCACCUUGACCCUUUCUAGGGCCUGUGAGGCAGCCUGCGACACCUGCCUACAGCCACCUAUCUUUUCUCAGUUCGGAUUCUGCCCACCCUGUUAAGGCUGAGCCAAAGUCACCCCCACCCCAUCCCUCCUCCCCCCUGCUCUGAGAACCAACCAACAGGAACAGACUCCAUGGUGCCGACCUAGGACCUCCCAGGAAGCACUGCUCCAUAGAGCCUUAGUUUACCGUGGGCAUCGAGUGGUUUUCUAGACACAGGAUGACUCGCCGGUCCACCAGCCCUUCCUGCCCCUGAUGCCCUCGAUCCCCCAGCCAUCAUAGCCACCUACCCCUCCAGGACAGUUGUUGGCCAACAGAACCCCCAGCUGCUAGGUCGCUAGCCUGCUUGCUCCAGCGGUUACAUCACCCAGGCCCCUGACCCAGACACACAUCCCCAGUCACUGCUGAUGGUGUUCCCAUGGCAUCUUCUCCCUUGCAUUUAGCACCUUCCUACCUGUAGACCUUUGUCUGGUCAGAACUGCCACUGCACUCAUCAUCUUCUUGGGCUCCACCCACCAGUCCAUACCCCUUGCUUCCAGACUGCCCUCUGCACCCUGAAACCUGGAGAGAGCCAUGGCAACUCAUCCUUGUCCCCCCACUCACAUCUGGCUGUACCCUGGGGUCAGAACUCCUGGACAGGGAGGGCCCUGGUGGUUACUUGGGUAUUGCCAUCAUCUUCAGCCAGUGUCCCACGGACUAACCGAAUCUCUCCCAGGGCCUCAGUUUCCUAUAAAGCAGAAUGGCCUUUCCAUAUACAGGGAGCACUGCUGUGGCUGGUACCUGCGCUGGAUACAAGACCUGACACAACGGGAUGGCGUGGGAGGGAGUGGAGCUGCAAGGCCACUGGGAGACUAAGCUUGGGUUGUAGGCUCCUGUGCUCCCAAGGGGCAGGGAUAUGGCUGGAUAGGUGUAGCAGCUGGGUCAGGGCUUUCUGGUACCCUGACAUAGCCUCUUCUUUCUUUUCAGGGGAGAGUGAGGUUUAUUUCAGUAUACAGGUGACAGGCCAUCAAACUGUGAAGGGGAACCAUGGAGAUAGCCCCUUAACAUAUGCGCAGGGGAAGGGGGCAGAGGAACUGAAAACAGCCAGAGCCCCAGCAUCCCCAGGAGCGAUGAUGGCGGUGGCUUCUUUUUGGUCUCUCUGGCCACUCACAGGAGCCCAACGAUGGAGCUGGGCUGUCACAACGAGGUAUUGUGAGCCAGGAGACUUCUGAGGCCAUCUGUCCUGGGAAGCCGGACGUAGACAUGGGACACAAGUCCUGGGACAGACAAAGACACACCAAGGAGUGGAGGGGGCGUACAAGGGGAGACAACAGGUGUGUUACCUGUCCCAGAGCGAGGGUAAGGACCUGGCCAGACGGCCCGGCAGGACUCGGGGCUGCCCGAGGCACAAGGGCACCCAGGGGCUGUGCAGCCUGUGGGCGAAGAGGACGGAGCUGCUCAGAACAUGUGGGGUGCCGCCCCAGGGCUGAGGCCAAGAGACAAGAGGGCAGGGUUGUUCAGGGGCAGCUGUGCCUCUGAUGGCCCCACUGGUGGCUCUGAGCUCAUUUGGUGACACUAAGUCCCCUUGGGGUAGGGUUUCUUGGUCACUAGCUGGGUUAAUUUGGGGUUUCUCUUCCUACCCACAGACCUGCAUCCUGUAUCAUAGACCCAGGUAUGUUGUGGGGAGAACGUCUCCCCUUCUGUGUGUUCUAGAUCUGUCAAUCGCCUGUCCUGCGCUCGGUCUGGAUUUCUGGCAGACUCUCUUCCUGAUGUGCAUAACUUCCUGGUGAAAGGGGCAGGCAGCUCCUCUCUGCAGGGAGGCCACGUUGGCUGGUAUAGAGAGAGCUACGUGACUAUCCUUCAGGCUUCGGGGUCUGCAGAUGACAGGUGCUGGACAGCGGGUGGGUAUAGUAAAGAACACAGGUCAGGCUCAGUCCUGAUCUGGCUCUGCCCUGCUGGAGGAUAGUGCCACACACGUGUGCCUGUCACAAGGCCAUGGCCCACCUGGAACCUUCUUGGUCAGGCCUGACACACGGACUUGAGGGGGCACAUGGCAGGCAUGCUAAGGGCUGAGUUAUCGUCAAGCAGCCACCGAAGUGGGUCACUUCCAUCCACAGAAGCUCCUGGCUGGCCCAGAAACCAGGUUUUCAAAAAGGGCACAGGACAAGGCAGAUGUGCCAAGAGCUGUGAACUCCCUUUUAAAAAACUCACUGCACAGACCAUCACAGAAGAAAAGAAAUGUUCAUUUGUUACGCCUGGCUAUUGGAAUGCUGGGUAAUUGAAAAAAAAAGUAUACUUUUCUGGGUUUGUCAUCUUUUCUAUAGAGGAAAAACUUUUCUUAGGAUCAAAUUUUGUCACUGGAUAAAAAGUUCCCACAGGCAUCGAGCGAUGAGCCGACAGAUGCAGGGGUCGGGGGCUGGGGGUUCUCAGCCCUUCACAAGGUAGCCACUCCCAAGGCUGCAGAGGCUGAAGCAGGCUGGGCUGUCUCCCUUCCUGGCUUGGCAAAGACUAACAACAGUGGCCAGAAUGCCCUCCUUGGAGCCCUUGCCAGCAGGUUUCCUGUCAACAGCCCCUCUGCAGGGCCCUCAGAAGCUUGGGUAUCUCAGCACUAGAUGACAUUUGGGACCUAAGGGGAAACUGAGAUCCACCGAAUGUCUGCUUUUGUUCUGAACCAGGCAGCACAGGGAAACUGUCAGUGUAGCAUGUGAUACAGGAAACAUUCUCCCGGACCCGAGGAAAGGCUCCAGGGAUAUUAUGCCACAGUCCCAAGAUCACCAGGUAAGUCUCAGGACUGAGAUAUGGACCAGUCUAUUCCUCUCUCGUACACCAUUCAGGACAUGAUAGGAGGAAGCGAGCUGGCUGUGGGUUGUACUCACUUCUAGCAGAGCCAGAGACUGCCCUGGCUUGGUCAUCAAGGCUGCCUGCCCUGAGACCAAGCCGCCAGGAUGUCGUAUAAGAGCGGGUGAUGCCUGGUGACGACUGGGUGCCUCUCAGGAAGAGACAGGGUGGGGCUCUGACGUGUGCUGCUUCCCAGCAUGCAAGGAGCCCACUUCCUCCCUCCUAGGCAUGGAAACAAUCCUUUCUCUUAGGGACGGAAUCUGUUGGCAUCUGUCUGUCUUCCUUUCUGAGGGACCCUGGGGACCAGCAAGGGUCCUGAGGGUAGAAAAGCUCAGGGCACUGAAGAAACAGCAGAUGUAGACCAGAUGUAGACCAGAGCAGGGACUGUCACUACUCAUCUUAGAUGCAGACAGCCACAGCCACCUGUGGAGCCCCAGGCUGCCUGUGCUCUCUCCAGUGUGCCCAGGCAAGAAAGGUUCCAGCCCCAUCUGAGGACUCUACACCAUAGCUGAAGGAUCUUGAGCUAGCUGGGGCCAGUCCUGAACCUUUUGUCCUCCUUUCCACUGAGUUCCUUUCUAAGAUUCACCAGCCACUGUCCUCGCUCCCGACAGACAUGCCACUGCACCCCCGCCUACCCCAGGAUGUCUAGCCUCCCUCCUCUUUCUUGGGAUGCUUGUCUUAUGCCUCUCCUGACUCUGGGGAUUUUCUCUCACCACGCUGGGCCACCUAUCCUUCAGGGGACUCGUGCCCAUGUUUGCCUGGUGACUGCCUUCUGGUCCACACAGUGAUGGGCUGGGUCUGGGCUUUUGGUCACUCCUGAGCCUCAAGCUAGCUCCGGGAUCAGCAGCAGGCCAGGGUGGCUCUGGCCCUGCUCUGUGAGGCUCUGCACAAAGCCUGUGUGCAGCCUCCCUUCUCUCUAGCAUGGCCCAAGCAGUCAUGCUCCAACAACACCAAAUUGCUUGUCAUUCUUCACAUGCUGCAAGCGCUUUCUCAUCUUGGUGACUUUGUUCUCAUGUCCCCUCUGCCAAGAUCUUGCUCUGCCUGCCCCAGGUUAACUCUUCCCCACUUGAAGGUCUUCCAGCUGGUCAACUCUCCCUGGAGAAGCCAAAAACUGCUUCCCGGGAUGGCCACGUUGCCAGCCUAGUUACCUUUGAAUGCAAGAGUCUUCUACGCCAUCUGGGCCUCCUAACUCUACACUCUUCUGGCAAUUGGAUGGCUAAGCAGACCACACCCUGCCUUGACCACUGCAUCCAGCCAGAUUCCCACCUCUCAGGCCACCACUGUCUCAGUCUGUGUUGGCCUUGGGGUAUGCUUUCAGGAAGGGCCUCACCUACAUGCCGCCUCCUCUGAUAGCCUAUACUCAGUCUUAUUACUAUGUGGAUAGUUGCCGUGGUCUGCCUGAUCACCUGCCCACUAAGCCCUAUGGACUAUCUCAGGUAUCAGCCCCUAAUCAGACAGUGCAGGAGCAGGGUCAGGCAUGACCCCAGGGCUGGGUUCAUGUUGUUAAGUCGUCUUAAUGCUGGAGAUGACCUAACCUGUCCUCUCCUGAGCCUCAAGCUAGCUCCCUGGGGAACCUGUGCCCAGACGGUAGAAACAUUGCUAAACCUCGAAGGACUGCCCCAGCCUCCCUGUGGCAGCUCUGGGACACCACAACCUCACGGGAUAACCAUAGCAACCUACCCUUAGCUCCUCAGGGUCCCUGACCUGAAUGUCUUUACCGACAUUUCUGCCUAUCUUCUGAGUCUGUUGAGCCAGUGGUCACCACUAGAUGGCUCUACCCUUCGUACCUGUGGCUGCCCCUCCCUCAAGAACUGGUGAGUCACUGACAAUGGAUGACUGGACACUCCAGCCUGCACAGGAGCCUCACCCAUCCUGUCCACCAUCUCCCCUUAGCUCCCUUUCCCACCCCACCCUACCCACUUUCCAGCUGAGGAAACACGUAUGGAGUGGGUAAGGUCAGGCCUGUACUAGGUCACAGGACUUGGAUGGCUCAGCUCUGUGAUGUCCUGUUCCCAACCUCUGGUCCCAGUGUAGAGGCUAGAUGCUAAUAAGUCUCACCACUGUGCUGCCAUCGCGGUUACUGAGGUGUCACAAAACCAACAACCCCCGUGGAAAGGUCAUGCGCACGUGCGAGUCUGUGUUGGCAUGUGUUAGGGAUGGGACUGACCAUCACUUGUGGUUCUGUGGCCAUAGCAAGGGGUUGUCUGGAAGGGGGUUGCCCCUAGGGGUCACAAGUCUCCCUGGCUCUAUCUGCCCCAGCUCUAUCUCCAGCAUCCAUGGCUAUGCAGUUCAGGCUGUCAUGGAUCCUCUGUCAGAUCAGGAGCUAUGGCAGAAAAGAGGCUCCUCACCUCAUCCUAUCAGGCAGCUGUAGACCUACCCAGCCACCCUCCCCUGCCAAGAGAGCCAUGUGCCUGGAGCUGUGUCCUAGAGAGCCCUUGGGGUUGGUAGAGCUGGAUGCCCAGGGCAGCUAUAAAACCACAGGGCUGGGUAUAGCCCCGCCCCCGGCAGGGCCGUCCCCUUCUCUGUUUCUAAACUCCUCCCCCAGGCUUUCUUGAUGCCCCCCCCUCUCACCCCCACCCCAAGGAAAGGCAGUUCCCACCUGGACUCAGCCCCUAAAGAUGGACUGACCUGGAGUGCCACCAUCAUUCUCGUGUCUCUAUACUACCCCCAGCACCUCUUCCCUCUCCCACUCACCUACAGCAUGGAGCAUGGGAAGCCGUCCAAGGGAACCUCCACAGAUGCCACCCCAUGUGCCACCUACCCACAUCUGCCUGACACCUGUGCUAUGUGCCUGGGAUAACCCUCUGGGCCCUGCCUGCUUCCUGCCAGUUCCAUCACAGGCUUCCUUACUGAAUCAGUGAGCCUCUCCUUCUAGAUUGUUCUCUCCAGCAGUCCUGUGGGUGGCUGCUUUUCACACUUCAAUAACCACCUUCCCUGAACUUCAGGCACUGUCCGUUCUGCUGCCGGAAAUGUAUUCUGUCCCUGCUGUCUGUUUCCAUAGCCCUGCCAGGCUUGCGGCACUGAAUAACGCCUGUCGCUCGCUUCUUGUCCCUUACCUGGCAUCUGGCUGGCUGGCUACCCUUUCCCAGCAUCCUUUGAGGUUGCUCCUCAUGCCUGCUUCCUAUCAGCCACUCUCCUCCCCUGGGUGCACACGCUCACAAUAAUCCCCAGUAGCAAAUAUCACGAGCUGCCAUGGUCCCCGGUGUUUCUAAUUCCAGUCGUCCCCAUCCUUCUGUCUCACCUGUCUGUAGGGCACAUGAGAAUCUCUUCACAGACAACCUCUCCCAUGUCUGAAGAUUCCUGGACAUUCCCCAUCCCUCCCAUUGACCCUGUCUACAGGAUGGGCCCCUUCCUGUGCUCCACAACCCAGCCCCCUAUCCCACAACCCUCCCCCUCCCCCCAAGCCUCUGGACCUAGUCUUGAAGCAAUCACGCUGGGUUGGGGAGGCCACCAAGCUGUGCUUGGGUUGGGGGUCAAAGGUAGGAGGGAGUUCCAUCCUGGGAUAUAUGGAGCUGGGGUCUGGAUCAACCAGGGGAAGGCACAGCUCCAGGGGUGCACCGCAUUGGAGAGCUGGCAGCACUGUGUUUGGGGGCAUCAUAAUGGGGGGUACAGUAGAAACAGGAGCCUGGUGGAGGCUAAGCAGAGGGGCUACAUGGGCCCCAGGAGCGUCUACAGUACUCAGCUUUAUUGGGGCUCCUGUCUUUCCUGCUUGGCACUCUCAUCCCCACCCCACUCCCAGACUGUCUCCCAGGAGAAGACAGUGGACAGACGACCAGUCACCUGUCCCCUGGGCGCCACACCCCACAGGACCCAGGUCAGGAGGCUGUACUCACCUGGGCACCAAGCUGGCUUGAGGACAAACCUUCAGCACCCCACCCCACCCCCUGUUAUCAACGACCGUGGGGCUUCACUAUUGGGGAGCUGUAGGAGGCCUGCAUUCUCCGCUCUGUAGUCAUAAAGCCAUCAAGGUCUGGGAUGGUCAGGGACAUAGGCUGCUGGGCAAGGUGGACAGUCCCUGCCCGGAGCCCUCCAGACACCCAGGUUCCAUGGUGCCCCUUCCUCCUCACCCCCACAGGUCUGCUCCUCCAUACAUGUGCACGAAUGUUCUCACAGGCUGUCUCCAGAGCUGUGGUGCUGACAGCAUAUGUCUGGAAGCCAGCGUCUGGAAGGGGCACCCCAUGAGGAAGGGAGCUGUCUUUGGGGUGCCUCAGUUUCCCUAUCUAAAACAAAAGCCCAUGGGUCAUUUGUGAUCACUAUGAUGGCCCUCCAGAGGCUCUCUAUGCCCACUCCCUGAGCCUCCCUCCAUCUCUGCUCCAGGGUCAUGAGGCCUCCUGCCACCUGGUGCCCUGACUAGGGAUGUGGGUUACCUGGACCACUGCAGGGCGUGUAUGAAGCAGAUGGCCCCUGCGCAGCUCGGAAGUUCCCAUUCCUGUGUCUGUUUUUCCUUUUCUUUGUAAAGUUUUUAGAUUUAU
Mus musculus (house mouse) is the source of this 8226-nucleotide long non-coding RNA. RefSeq annotates it as predicted gene, 52002. NCBI's taxonomy places the organism in Eukaryota, Metazoa, Chordata, Mammalia, Rodentia, Muridae. The transcript has 2 exons. The record is from RefSeq and is a predicted model, not a curated record.